This 483-nucleotide ribosomal RNA is filed under the name uncultured bacterium. RNAcentral's name for it is "partial 16S ribosomal RNA". It matches the Rfam family "Bacterial small subunit ribosomal RNA", at positions 28 to 507 of the family's 1533-position model. The record is from RNAcentral.
AUUGAACGCUGGCGGCAUGCUUUACACAUGCAAGUCGAACGGCAGCGCGGGCUUCGGCCUGGCGGCGAGUGGCGAACGGGUGAGUAAUGCAUCGGAACGUGCCCAGUAGUGGGGGAUAGCCCGGCGAAAGCCGGAUUAAUACCGCAUACGACCUGAGGGUGAAAGCGGGGGACCGAAAGGCCUCGCGCUAUUGGGGCUGCCGAUGUCGGAUUAGCUAGUUGGGGGGGUAAAGGCUUACCAAGGCGACGAUCCGUAGCUGGUCUGAGAGGACGACCAGCCACACUGGACUGAGACACGGCCCAGACUCCUACGGGAGGCAGCAGUGGGGAAUUUUGGACAAUGGGGGCAACCCUGAUCCAGCCAUGCCGCGUGCGGGAAGAAGGCCUUCGGGUUGUAAACCGCUUUUGUUCGGGAAGAAAUCCUCUGGGCUAAUACCCCGGGGGGAUGACGGUACCGGAAGAAUAAGCACCGGCUAACUACGUG